GAUCCAGUCGCCUGCUGAGGCUAGGCUGCACUUCUGCCCAUGGGUGCCACCAGACAUCUUCAUGCAGUGUCCUGUUCAAUCUGUGUUCAGCUGCUACAUUCAACUACUUUCCCAAAGCGAAAAAGUAAAGCUACUGUAUGUAUGACUCCUGUUUCUAUGGAAAGAAGAACCUGGGUCUACUAGUUCCGUGUUCUUGAUGAAGGUGGUUCUCCUCUCUUCUUGGUCAGCCCACCUCUUCAGAAACCCAGAGAGAUUUCUGAGGAGGUUGGCAGCUUGAACCUGGAGCCUGAACCAAAGAAGCUGUCUCUUUGACCCCCUCCCCAUCUCCCUCCUGUCUGCCCCAGGCCCGGGAUCCGGGCUAUCCAGGGUUCUGGGGAAAGGAGAGCCUCUGGGACCCUCCCUCGGCACUGCUGAGACCUCUAAGUCUCCAUGUUCUGGGAGGCAUUAGGGGGUUAAUUUUCUCUGACAUUUUUUCACCCUAUUAGAUGCACCAGUUCAGCUGGAGGGUAAACAGAGAGCACUGGUCUCUUUUUGAUGUCCUGGGAGCUUGUGUGUGUUUGUUGUGUUUGUUGCCUGUCACCAACACAGAUGGUGAAAUGGGCCAGAUGUAAAGGAUGACAGCGGCCACAAGAUGCCGGGGAGCUUUGCUGGGGGUUGGAUGACCACACACUUCAUUCCACAUCUGAACCACUCUCACCCGCAAGUCAGAGUAUUAAGCAGAGAACCCCCCUGCGCCCCCAGAGAGCUGGAGACGUUUUCUGGCAGAGAAGCCCAGAGCACCGGCAAGCUGCUUCGAGAAGUUCCUCUGUGUCUUCCCAGUCUCCACCCUGGGCGAGUCUGUGGCUGAGAAGCUGGCCUGCUCCAGCUGUAGGGGAGGCAAGUUCUAAACCUCAGGUGCCCCCGUCACCCCUGCCCAGUGAUCAGAUCAGUGCUCUGUGGCUUCUCCCCCAACUAACAUCUCCCCUGACCACACAAGGUGAGUUUUAAUCCCGAUUUUCUGAUCCCAUACAAAUGGGACAUCCAGGGAGGUUGAGCCUGUAAUUCACAGGGACAUGGAAAGCACAGACAAAAUGAUAGAAGUGUCCUGCUUCAAUGGUUCCAAUUUGCUGAGAAAAGGCAGUCAGUGAUUUUUUUUUUUCCCAUGGUGAGCUGGGGGUGGGCAGGGACAGGAGUGUCCAACUCCUCUGACUCCUUUAGUGGGAAUGAGAAGUUCACAUGCAGCACCGGGUUAUCCAGCUGACCCCUCCUCCUUCCCUGCGCUUCGGGCUCUACUCUAGGGGGGCUAAGAAAGGCUGGGGGGGGGGGGCAGAGGGAUGGUGCAAACUCAUUUCUGCUUGUGUCAAUGCCCCUGGACCAGCAGGGAGAACGGACAGAUAAUGGCCAACUCUCACCCUUUCCCGGGGCGCCCACAAGUUGCAGUUUCCAGGGAUAGUCCCAGGGCAGGCCUGUUGUAGAUCAAUUAACAACUUACCUUUUUUUUUUUUUUUAUUUUGUUUAUUUAUUUAUUUUGAGAGAGAGAGAGAGAGAGACAGAGAGAGGCAGAGAAAGAGGGAAAGAGGGAGAAUCUCAAGCAUGAUCCACGCUGUCAGCACAGAGCCCAACGUGGGUUUGAACUCAUGAAACUGUGAGAUCAUGACCUGAGCCAAAAUCAAGAGUCAGCUGCUUAACUGACUGAGCCACCCAGGGGCCCCAACAACUUAUCUUAAGCGCUCCCUUUUUACUUUCAAAGUGGCCCGGUUUGUAUCUUAUGGUUCCCCUAUCCAUUCCCCAUAGUGAAUUUGCAGAGAACUUGCUGCUAAGUCAAACACAACCCUGACUACAUUUUUUUCUGAGAAGCAAGAACGAGGGAGAAAGAGGGAGGCACUUUAGAUUACUGGACUGGGUUGACUCUUGUGUGGAACCCACCCCACCCAUCCCAGGUUCCCGCCUACACAAUAUGUGGAAUCGUGAUUAUGUGGGAUCGAGGUUGUGGGAACAUGAAACCAACAGCAAGAGACAAAAAUUAAGAUGGUUUGUUGGAUCACAAACUACAAAACAUAAAAAAUCUCCUAGAGAUCAUAAUGUUAAUAUAUUGCCUUUUUAAAUUUAAUAUAACUCAAAAUAGUAGAUUGCCUCUAUGAAUGUACCACACUAUGGAUUUUAAUUUUUGUAUUAACUUACAUAGAAAUUCAGGGUAAAUUCGGUGGGGAGCUGGGGUGGUAAUGCUUGGGUGAAGGGAGAGAGAGGUAAUAAUACAUUUUGCAGUUGUUUUUUGUUUUUGUUUUUGUUUUUAAGGCUGAGCAUCAGGAUCUCAUUUUUAAAUUAUACGUCACUGGGCACAAAUAUAUUCAAUAUCCUUUUGGCUUUGAAAUCUAUUUUAAUCUAGCAACUGCACUUCUGGGAAUUUAUCUUACAGAACUAUUGGAACAAGUGACCCAGAGUGUUUGUAGUGGCUAAACUCAGAAGCAACCAAUGGCUCAAAAACAGGUAACUUGUUAAACAAAUGAAGGCAAUCCAUACAAAGAAACAGUAGGACUAUGUAGGUCCCCCACAGAAUUAUUCUCACAAACGAGUGUUCAAUUAUGAUAGCAUGUUUCCACUUCUGUAAACAAACAAGCAAACAUAUUACGGCAAAGAAGAAAGUCUGAGGCUAUUUGGAAUAUGUACCAAAUAGGGAUUGCCUUUAAGGAGGGAGACAGUAUGCAGUAAAUUUUCAUUUUUCAUCUUAUUCUUUUUUCUUAUUGCUUAAAUGUUUUAUAGCAAAUAUAACUUUCACAGUUUAUGUAGAAAAAUAUAUGUAUAUAUACAAGUACGUGUACAAGAGUAAUCUUAAAACUUUAUAGUAUGCUUUUUAGGAAAACAAAACUACGAAAGGAAAUGCAUUUGAUACUGUGUUUGAACUGGUCUGACAAGCCCUUCUGAUAAGACGCACAGCCCAGGGAAGGCCUGGAUACCAUGGAAAAAAUGGUCACUGUCAGGACUUCCUGUCCUGAUCCCACUCCAGCUCGAUCCUACUCUCAUUUCCUUCUGAAGGGGAGCCAUGGGACCUCUUUGUUCCCCACUGUUGAGGGAAGCUAACCUCUUCCCUGAGCUUGCCAUGAAGGUGAUUCACCCCAUCCUUCACUCAGGCCAGGGAGAAGAAAAAGAUAACAGUUUUUGGCAAUUCAGUCUGUUAGAAAAGGGGGUCUAGGGCUCACCCCUCUUCCAGUCAACUGCAGGCCAAGGAUGGAUGCAUCAAAGAGAAGCCAAAGACAAAGCAAUUCUGGACUGCAGCUGGCAAAGGGCUUAACUCUGGGCAAGCUGGGAGUCGACAAGUUACAUUUUUGCCCAGAUCAGACAAUGAUCUUGACACAAGGGUAAAAGAUGGUCUGACUCUGGCUUCCCAACAUAUUCUGUCUUUGGACAUCAAAUGUAUAAAACUGAGCUACUCACUCACCUCAGUUCCAGACACUGACUUUUCUCCUAUAAUUAAAGGGGUACAUGUGUCUGUCAGUCUUUCUGUUGGGUAGCCUGUGUGUGUGUGUGUGUGGGGGGGGGGGGUGUUUAAAGAUCACCUGGGGUACCUAUGGAGGCCAUCUGGCUCUGUGGAGGAAGAAGGGUCCAUGCCUAGACACAGGAGACUGGGCAUGACACAACCUGGGUCACUCAUGAGUGCCUGUGAGACAUUCCAUGGGCCCUCAGGAAGCAAAAAAGAAGGGGCUGGGGUUCCAGAGAUCAUAAAGGAAGCUGAGUCAACUUUGCCUACAGCCAAAGAAGCAACUGCUUGCAAGGUGUAUUUGAGUGUUAUAAGGAAAGUCAUUGAGCCUCAAAAUAUUUCCCCUAUUAUCCUGUCAGAGUUGCUGAAUUCAACCCGUAGAGAUUCAUUCCUUUUGAUUAAGACUCUAUGGAUGUUCCAUUGCAAACUGAUUUUCCCAGCUUCUUUCCAAUCCAGAAGACAUUGGUUAGAAAACAAACACACUUGAAGUGUCUACUUGAGGCAAGUAGAAAGUACCCAGAACUCAGAAGCUCAGCAUCAAGAAAAGUAGACUUAUGUGAGUUCCAAGCAAAGAGAGAAAGUUACCAAAUGUUUUCAGUUUGGGCUAAGGUGAAGCAUGCAUACAGCUGGAUUAGACAAAUCUAACUGCAGAAGCCUUGUGAUUAUGCUUUUAGUGUUUCUCUUUUUCAUUUUUAUUUAUUUUUUAAUAUUUUAAAUGUAGCUCAGAGCCUGGAGCCUGUUUCGGAUUCUGUGUCUCCCUCUCUCUGACCCUCCCCGGUUCAUGCUGUGUCUCUCUCUGUCUCAAAAAUAAAUAAACGUUAAAAAAAAAAAAUAAAAAAAAAAAAACGAUUGGAUGCUUAACCGACUGAGCCACCCAGGUGCCCCAAGAAUUUCUAUUUUUGUAAAAAAAUACUUCAUAUACACACAAAUGUGUCUGCCACCAGC
This is a long non-coding RNA of Panthera uncia (snow leopard), 4399 nucleotides long. RefSeq lists it as uncharacterized. The record is from RefSeq and is a predicted model, not a curated record. The transcript has 3 exons. NCBI's taxonomy places the organism in Eukaryota, Metazoa, Chordata, Mammalia, Carnivora, Felidae.